This 253-nucleotide ribosomal RNA is filed under the name uncultured bacterium. RNAcentral describes it as "partial 16S ribosomal RNA". It matches the Rfam family "Bacterial small subunit ribosomal RNA", at positions 524 to 776 of the family's 1533-position model. The record is from RNAcentral.
UACGAAGGGGGCUAGCGUUGUUCGGAUUUACUGGGCGUAAAGCGCACGUAGGCGGGCUAUUAAGUCAGGGGUGAAAUCCCGGGGCUCAACCCCGGAACUGCCUUUGAUACUGGUAGUCUAGAGUCCGAGAGAGGUGAGUGGAAUUCCGAGUGUAGAGGUGAAAUUCGUAGAUAUUCGGAGGAACACCAGUGGCGAAGGCGGCUCACUGGCUCGGUACUGACGCUGAGGUGCGAAAGCGUGGGGAGCAAACAGG